Nerophis lumbriciformis (worm pipefish) is the source of this 228-nucleotide non-coding RNA. The record is from RefSeq and is a predicted model, not a curated record. Lineage: Eukaryota; Metazoa; Chordata; Actinopteri; Syngnathiformes; Syngnathidae.
GAGGAAGGUGAGGUCAUGAAGGUGAGGUCAUGUUGAGGAGGAAGGUGAGGUUAUGGCAUAAGAGUGGAAGGUGAGGUCAUGAUGGGGAGGUCAUGAUGAGGAGGAAGGUGAGGUCAUGAUGGUGAGGUCAUGUUGAGGAGGAAGGUGAGAUCAUGUAGGUGAGGUCAUGUUGAGGAGGAAGGUGAGGUCAUGUAGGUGAGGUCAUGUUGAGGAGGAAGGUGAGGUGAU